This is a long non-coding RNA of Macaca mulatta (Rhesus monkey), 2079 nucleotides long. Lineage: Eukaryota; Metazoa; Chordata; Mammalia; Primates; Cercopithecidae. The record is from Ensembl.
GUUAUCGGCUGCUCUCGAGGGCAGAGAGGUCCAGCGUUCCUGUGUUUAGGUAUUUGAGCUGCCUUAAGAGGCUAGGUCAAUUCUCACUGGUGUCUUCAGGGCUUUAGGCCUUCUGAACAAGCAGGAGGAAGCACGACUUUGUAGAGCUUUGGAAAUCUCAACGGACUUCAGGGCCAUCCCCUUUGGCAGGAGAGAGCCCCACUGGAGGCGAGCAGGGUGCCGUGCGGGCCUCUGCUGGGCCCAGGCAUGUACGGACGUUGUGAGGGCCACAGGACACAGAUCGGUCUUGGUUCACAACUGGUGUCGAUGGCCACGCAGCAUUUCUGCCAGAUUCUGUGGCCAAAAACUUACCCGUGGACAUUGAGGGUGAUGCAUUUCUGCUCCAAGACGUCUGUGGACUCAGCUGGAGGGAUGGAAAGGAUGUGGAGCCUCUUCACUCCUGGCCUGGCCUUGGACCUGCUGUGCAGCCUCUCAGUGGCACCAGGGCCCCCUUGUGUCACAGCAGUCUCGGGUUCGUGGCACUGCCUCAGGAUGUCCAGGCUUCAUGAUGUCCAGGCUCCCCUGGCAUGGCGACCUCAGAAGUGAGGGUGAACGCUGAGUUAUUCACGGGAGUCAAGAAACCACACGCAGCCCAAAGUGACGUUUGUUUCCCUGAAAUGAUUUGUGUGUGUUCACCUUAAAAUGCAACUCAGUAAAACAGGGACACUAGCAGCCCCCACAUCCGAUCACAGUGGCCUGAAGGUUAAAGGCAACGGCGGCACGAGACGUACAGUAAGAGCUCUGAGCAGGGAGAGCAGGGAGCUGCCCAGGGAGUUCCACCACCAUCUCCCAUCUGGCCGCCGAGGAAACCGAGGCUCAUGGUGACCUGGCCAGAAAAUGAGCCACGGAGACACCAGGAGAGGCAGGAGACCAUCCUCCUUGCACAAAACCCAUUCCCUUGGAUGCUGUCCUCAGCGAGGGUGGCUGAGGGCCAACCAGGGGGCCCACCCGCAGAGUGGCAGAGGAGGUCCAUGGCGGCUGCCAGGGCCAGCUGGUAGUACCCGGCUGCAUCAAACGGGUCCUGAAGGGGACAGGCCAUGCUCAGCAAAAGGGGGACUCGGAGCCCGUCUUCCCAGAGGCCGUUCCUGUCUCCAGGUCAUUCCACAUGUCCAGCCAAUGCUGGCUCACCCCAUGAGCCCCGAAGCCUGUGACACUGCUGUGGUCUCAGCUGCAGGAGGUGGGGAUGACCCUGACACCCCUGGAAGCCUUCCUGAGUGUCCCUACGCCCCACUCACCCCAAGCCUCCUGCCCCAGUGCCACCCUCUCUGCAGGCAGUGGCUGCUUUCCCCAUGGGCUGAGGUCAGGGCAGAUCCUGCCUGCUCUGACAGUUCCAUGCAGGACUCGUGGCUCCAAGCCACAGCAGGGGCACAGCGUUGAGUGACCCAGGCUCCCCUCUGGCCCCUGUCCAAACUGACCAUUUCCAGGCCCUCCACGGGACAGGCCAGGUACAAAACCAUCUCACAGGUGUCCUCCCUGGCAAUGAUCCCUGAAAUAUUGAUGGAGUGUGACUCCCCAGACAUCCACUCCUGUUUUCAAUGCAUCUUUGGCUCAAACUCACCAUCCCUGGGUUGGGAUGCCGUCUCCCAGACCUCCUCCUUGACCCUCCCAUCCCCCACCCGGCACCUCUUCCACAUGGGGGUCACCCAAGGAACCUCUCUAAGACCCAUGCCUGGCCUGUUCCUCUUUGCCAUCUCAAGAUGGCUCCCAGGGCCAAUGAGAAAGUCCAAGACGCAGCAGUCCAUUCCCUCACUGCCCCGCCCCACACACAGAGCAGGGGCGUGAGAAGGUCCCGAGUCACCGCCACUGCUCAUCCAAUGGCCCCCGCCCAGCCGAACACUGGACUCUGUGCUGGGUGUGUGGCUGAGCCUAACGUCCUUGAUCCCAGUCUGAGGGACCUGGGAGUGAACACUGACCACACAGGGUGGCCCGGGCUGUGCCAGAGGGAAGCCCAGGAGACCCCAGACUCAGCCGGGGAUGGAAGGCAAAGGCUUCCUGAAGGGGUGGGGGCUUCCCAACUAAACAGGAAGGAGCCAGCCAAUG